AUUACAGCCGACCCAGAUUAUGCCCACUUCCAGCCGAGCCCAAGUUUCCCCCCGGCCCUCCCCAUCACUGAGCACCGCGGUGACCUCCUCCCCGCCACGCCGCCCAGCCCUGGGAGCCGCCAGCCGCCCGGCACCGCGGGCACCUCCGCUCGCCCUCCGCCGGCGCACCGCCCGCCCUGGCGGCUCCCCCGGCCGCUUCCCCGUGCGGGGUACGGCGGGGGCGCAGCCCCUGUAACCCGAAGGGCUGCCCCGCUCCCCGCCCGGCAGGCCCAGGCCCUCACCGCAGCGCUCCCCCCCCCUCCCCAAGCCGACCCCCAGAGCCAGCGGCGGGGACGGGCGAGCCCCUCCGCCCGCUCGCAGCCACCAUUUCACCGCCGAGCCUCCCCGCCACGAAGCCACCCGCAGCCCCCCCCCCCCCCCCCCCCCCCCCCCCCCCCCCCCCCCCCCCCCCCCCCCCCCCCCCCCCCCCCCCGGGGCAGGGGGCUGUCCCUCGCCGCCGCGCUCCGUCCCCUAGCAGAGAAGGGCAGCGACCCGCACACCGCCCGCACCGGGGGACCCCGCCUCGCCCCACCUGCCCCGGGGGGGCAGCGCUGCCCGGGGACCCCUCCUCACGCUCGCCGGGCACUCACCGGGCGGAGCGGGGACGGGGAGAUGGAGGCGAACGGGGCACGGCGCGGCUCCGCCUUCCUGAGUAUGAGAGACCAAGAAGAGGAAAAGCAUUCCCACUGGUGAAGCAAACAAGACAUAGAAAAAGAGAAGAAGCUGCUACAAGGAACGGAUGAUAGUUAAGACAGAUAGCAGUGUCAGGAACAUUACGUUUCAGAAAUACAUCGUCACAGAAGCAGAGAAGGAAGGGUCCACAGCUCCAUCUGCCCCUGCAAAGUAAGCAUGCUCACAGCACUGCGAGGCACUUGUCCAAACGUCAGCCCUGCACCUCCCAUGAGGGCAGAUGCACAAGUCCCUCAAGCAGCCCGGUCUAACGCUUAAUGAUGCUCAUAAUUAGAAAGUUUUCCUAACAUCUAACCUAAAUAUUCUUUUCUGCAAAUUGGGUUCCGUUCUUCUCAUCCUACCCCCAGCGGACAUGAAGAAUAAUUGAUUGUCGUCGUUUUUAUCACACUGAAAUACCGGAACAUGUGCUGGAACAUGUCACCAUGUGCUUCUCCUGCUCUUCUGUUUUCUGGAUCGAAACCCAGUUCCUUCAGAGUUAUCCUAAGGGUCUGGUUCUCAUUUAUUUCUUCUGACCUCCCUCCAGCUCCUGGGUGUCCACUAAAUAUGUAGCUCGCCUGUGCAAACAUGCGACGCCAGCUGAGGACACCCUUCCUGAGGGGAACAACCUGGUGACUGCCCAGACCACACAUACAAAACUUCUUAGUGAGCUCCUCAGUGACUUAGAAGUCAGAGAGUUUGGGGGGUUUUUUGGUUGAUUUUGUCACCAACUUGGAAUGCAUAUCAUAGAAAGUUAUUGUAAUCUCUCUUCAUUUAUUUAUUUUUUGGUCUGUAAAAGGGAAAUGAAGAUGCUUGUGAAGUGCACGGCUCCUUGGGGGGAAGAUGCUAUUGAAGUGCAAAAUAGAAAUGCUUGUGUAUCAUCACUUCUGCUAGAGAAAUGCUUGGGUAUCUGGCCCUCUCAUCACUUAUGCUAGCUGAAACAGGCAGUUCAGAAAGCUAAAGUCACCAAAUCCAGCAGAGUCAUUGUAGGAUUUGUCCAAACCUGGAUCUGCAGCGUGCUGUCCUCUUGUCAGGACCCUUUGUUUCCAUUUCC
Molecule: long non-coding RNA, 1759 nt
Filed under: Anser brachyrhynchus (Pink-footed goose)
Lineage: Eukaryota; Metazoa; Chordata; Aves; Anseriformes; Anatidae
Description: lncRNA (ENSABRG00000014601.1)
Source: RNAcentral